GACGGAGGGUGCAAGCGUUGUUCGGAUUGACUGGGCGUAAAGGGCGUGUAGGCGGUUGGUCAAGUCUGAUGUGAAAGCCCGGGGCUCAGCUCCGGAAGGGCAUCGGAAACUAACCAGCUGGAGCGCGAUAGAGGAGGGCGGAAUUCCUGGUGUAGCGGUGAAAUGCGUAGAUAUCAGGAGGAACACCGGCGGCGAAGGCGGCCCUCUGGAUCGUUGCUGACGCUGAGACGCGAAAGCGUGGGGAGCAAACAGG
This 253-nucleotide ribosomal RNA is filed under the name uncultured bacterium. Its description in RNAcentral is "partial 16S ribosomal RNA". It matches the Rfam family "Bacterial small subunit ribosomal RNA", at positions 524 to 776 of the family's 1533-position model. The record is from RNAcentral.